Equus quagga is the source of this 1107-nucleotide long non-coding RNA. RefSeq lists it as uncharacterized. The record is from RefSeq and is a predicted model, not a curated record. The transcript has 3 exons. Lineage: Eukaryota; Metazoa; Chordata; Mammalia; Perissodactyla; Equidae.
AGCUGUGUCUGGCGUCCUGAGCACAGGACGGCGGUGACGCGGCUCUUGGGGAGCACACGGGUGUGAGACAGGCUUCGCUGGGGCGAGAGCUAUGGAGCUGCUGGCUGUGAGUUCAAUGGGAAGGAGUCAAUGACCUACAUCAAUCAGGGGUCUUUAAGCAGAGACACCCAGGAAACAAGGUCAUGCGUUGACUGGCUGAGGACAGUGCUACGAGCAGAGGUUCGAGGGGCCCUAACCCUGUUUUCCCAGGACCAGUGGGUCAGUGUCUGCUAACUCCGUGUCGCGGUGACUCCUCGAGGAACAAUAAUUGACCCCAUUUGUCCCACAGCCUUGCUCGGAGGCCUGGAUAAGCCGAGGGCGGCCUCGUCGCUCUGUGGUUCUUACUGUUCCAGGACGUGAGACCCCAGGUGGAUCUCCCGAGCCCCUGGGCCUCCCGUGGGGUUGGGGGUGGUGGAGGUGGAACCCCCUACUGUGCACACGCAGACACGUCACCAGCCCGGCACUUCCACCAUCAACGCUUCAUUCGUUUGGUUUCAUUAAAAAGCCCACGUCGCUCUCAAUGACUCAUGGAAGACUCUGCACAGACAUUAUCUCACUGGAUCCUCACAGCAGUCCUGGGAUGGCAGCGUCACCCUUCCCGUUUUACAGACGAGCCCGACUUUCACAGACGCUAAGGAGCCGGCCCGAGGUCAGCGGAGUGGUUGGCUGCAGGGUCAUUUCGAUUUCCACUGUCCUCCCACCCUCCGCUCUUCCCUCCUGGACUGAACUAGGCUCCCUUUUCCUGAUGGCAGAGCGAGCUGAGUGCACCCAAACCCACGAGGGAAUCAGGAACGUUCCUGCAUCACUGGGCCUCGUCUGCAGCUGGUCCUGACCUGAUGUCCGGGGAGUUUGUCACAUCUUCACGUGGACGACAAAGCAGGAUAAGGCUCCAUUUCUGUCUGGAUUCUAGUCUGAGGCACGGAGAAGUCUCAUGCUUCAAAAAUGCAUGCGAAAAUGCAGCAAGCGUGCAUUUCACCCCCGGCGGAACCUCCUGAGUUACCGCGAGUGAUUGCACACGAGGAGGAGGUGCUGGGGAGAAGCGGCGUCGUCCUGUCACAGGCUGUGAAC